AAAGAUUCGCUAAUACCGCAUACGCCCUACGGGGGAAAGCAGGGGAUCGUAAGACCUUGCGUUAAUGGAGCGGCCGAUAUCUGAUUAGCUUGUUGGUGAGGUAAAGGCUCACCAAGGCGACGAUCAGUAGCUGGUUUGAGAGAACGACCAGCCACACUGGAACUGAGACACGGUCCAGACUCCUACGGGAGGCAGCAGUGGGGAAUUUUGGACAAUGGGGGCAACCCUGAUCCAGCCAUUCCGCGUGAGUGAAGAAGGCCUUCGGGUUGUAAAGCUCUUUCGCAAGGGAAGAAAACUUAUGAUCGAAUAAAUCAUGAGGUUGACGGUACCUUGAUAAGAAGCACCGGCUAACUACGUGCCAACAGCCGCGGUAAUACGUAGGGUGCGAGCGUUAAUCGGAAUUACUGGGCGUAAAGCGUGCGCAGG
This 426-nucleotide ribosomal RNA is filed under the name uncultured beta proteobacterium. Its description in RNAcentral is "bacterial SSU rRNA". It matches the Rfam family "Bacterial small subunit ribosomal RNA", at positions 154 to 575 of the family's 1533-position model. The record is from RNAcentral. Lineage: Bacteria; Pseudomonadati; Pseudomonadota; Betaproteobacteria.